CAGUCGCCGCGGGAAUACAGAGGGUGCGAGCGUUAAUCGGAUUUACUGGGCGUAAAGCGUGCGUAGGCGGCUAAUUGAGUCGGAUGUGAAAUCCCCGAGCUUAACUUGGGAAUUGCAUUCGAUACUGGUUAGCUAGAGUGUGGGAGAGGAUGGUAGAAUUCCAGGUGUAGCGGUGAAAUGCGUAGAGAUCUGGAGGAAUACCGAUGGCGAAGGCAGCCAUCUGGCCUAACACUGACGCUGAGGUACGAAAGCAUGGGGAGCAAACAGGAUUAGAUACCCCCGUAGUCCCUGUCUCUUAUAU
RNAcentral lists this ribosomal RNA (301 nucleotides) under uncultured bacterium. Its description in RNAcentral is "partial 16S ribosomal RNA". It matches the Rfam family "Bacterial small subunit ribosomal RNA", at positions 509 to 809 of the family's 1533-position model. The record is from RNAcentral.